GAAGCAGUCGUUGUGCCACUGGCGCUCUUCAAACGAGAUGUACUUACUGCCACCCAGACCUGAGAGAACGGGGAGAGAUGAACACAUGCUGUUAUCAAAAGAUCAGUGAUUGGGGAAGGAGGAAAGGUGGAGAACUUUAGUAAGGAUUCAAACAGGGCCACAGUGUACAGCGUGAUUGGGCCCAUCCCUGGGUUACACCAGAGCCCAGCUGAUCCCCUGGAAGGGGAACCUUUUCAACCUUUGAACCGGCCAGAGCUCCAGUACACUGACAUGGAUCCCUUGAUAGAAAUUGCUUUGAUGGACCGGCCGUGACACAAGGUCACAAGGAGGAGGGAUUCAAAUUCGCAAUCAGAGGGUUGACCACAACAGAGAGGACAUCCAUACUGAAAUGGGUAUAUCCAAGAGGUUACUCGUAUCAUAUACACACAUCUCCUCUCCAGGGUUGACCACAACAGAGAGGACAUCCAUACUGAAAUGGGUAUACCCAAGAGGACACUCGUAUAUCAUAUACACACAUCUCCUCUCCAGGGUUGACCACAACAGAGAGGACAUCCAUACUGAAAUGGGUAUACCCAAGAGGACACUCGUAUAUCAUAUACACACAUCUCCUCUCCAGGGUUGACCACAACAGAGAGGACAUCCAUACUGAAAUGGGUAUACCCAAGAGGUUACUCGUAUCAUAUACACACAUCUCCUCUCCAGGGUUGACCACAACAGAGAAGACAUCCAUACUGAAAUGGGUAUACCCAAGAGGAUACUCGUAUAUCAUAUACACACAUCUCCUCCCACCAGCCUCCUCUGGUGUCAAUGCAUACUGAGCAUGUUAUCCACCUCUCGCUUCAUGCCAUAGCGGUUGUUCUCUCUGUACAAAUUUGUCUCUUAAAAACACUGGGAUUAAAUUCAAUCUACAUCAGGCUAGUUAUAUUAGAUUUGAUAUUAUACUGAACAAAAAUAUAAACGCAACAUAUAAAGUGUUUGUACCAUGUUUCGAGAGCUAAAAUAAAAGAUCCCGGAAGUUUUCCAUGUGCACAAAAAGCUUAUUUCUCUCCAAUUUAGUUAAAAAAUGUGUUUACAUCGCUGUUAGUGAGCAUUUCUCCUUUGCCAAGGUUAUCCAUCCACCUGACAGGUGUGGCAUAUCAAGAAGUUGUUUGAACAGCAUGAUCAUUACACUGUAAAAUGUGCAGUUUUUUAACACAACACAAUGUCACAGAUGUCUUAAGUUUUGAGGGAGUGUGCAAUUGGCAUGCUGACUGUUGUGCCAUUCAUCCACCGCCAUCACCUCAUGUUUCAACAUGAUAAAUCACUGCCCCAUGUCUCCCAGUUCUUCCAUGGCCUGCAUACUCACCAGACAUGUCACCCAUUAAUAAGCAUGUUUGGGAUGCUCUGGAAUGACGUGUACGACAGUGUGUUCCCACCAAAUAUCCAGAAACUUCACACUUCCAUUGAAGAGGAGUGGGACAACAUUCCACAGGCCACAAUCAACAGCCUGAUCAACUCUAUGCGAAGGAGAGAUUGCGCUGAAGGAGAGAUCGCCCUGAAUGAGGCAAAUGGUCGUCACACCAGAUACAGACUGGUUUUCUGAUCCACGCCCCUAUCUUUUUUUAAGGAAUCUCUGACUAACAGAUGCAUUAUCUGUAUUCCCAGUCAUUAUCUGUAUUCCCAGUCAUUAUCUGUAUUCCCAGUCAUUAUCUGUAUUCCCAGUCAUUAUCUGUAUUCCCAGUCAUGUGAGAUCUAAAGAUUAGGGCCUAAUGAAUUUAUUUCAAUUGACUGAUUUCCUUAUAUGAACUGUAACUGUAAAAUCAUUGAAAUGGUUGAAUGUUGAGUUUAUGUUUUUUGUCACAAUGGAAACAGUCAAUAUGGGCAUCUCAUAUGACUGCCUUCAUUCAAUGUAACUUGAUUUAGUUUUAUCUGUAAAGAAUGUGUGCCAUAUAUAAACAA
Molecule: long non-coding RNA, 1938 nt
Organism: Oncorhynchus keta (chum salmon)
Lineage: Eukaryota; Metazoa; Chordata; Actinopteri; Salmoniformes; Salmonidae
Exons: 4
Source: RefSeq, a predicted model, not a curated record